GGGUUGUGAGGUUAAGCGACUAAGCGUACACGGUGGAUGCCCUGGCAGUCAGAGGCGAUGAAGGACGUGCUAAUCUGCGAAAAGCGUCGGUAAGGUGAUAUGAACCGUUAUAACCGGCGAUGUCCGAAUGGGGAAACCCAGUGUGAUUCGUCACACUAUCGUUAACUGAAUACAUAGGUUAACGAGGCGAACCGGGGGAACUGAAACAUCUAAGUACCCCGAGGAAAAGAAAUCAACCGAGAUUCCCCCAGUAGCGGCGAGCGAACGGGGAGCAGCCCAGAGUCUGAAUCAGCUUGUGUGUUAGUGGAACGGUCUGGAAAGUCCGACGGUACAGGGUGAUAGUCCCGUACACCAAAAUGCACAGGCUGUGAACUCGAAGAGUAGGGCGGGACACGUGGUAUCCUGUCUGAAUAUGGGGGGACCAUCCUCCAAGGCUAAAUACUCCUGACUGACCGAUAGUGAACCAGUACCGUGAGGGAAAGGCGAAAAGAACCCCGGCGAGGGGAGUGAAAAAGAACCUGAAACCGUGUACGUACAAGCAGUGGGAGCACCUUCGGGUGUGACUGCGUACCUUUUGUAUAAUGGGUCAGCGACUUAUAUUCUGUAGCAAGGUUAACCGUAUAGGGGAGCCGCAGGGAAACCGAGUCUUAACUGGGCGUUAAGUUGCAGGGUAUAGACCCGAAACCCGGUGAUCUAGCCAUGGGCAGGUUGAAGGUUGGGUAACACUAACUGGAGGACCGAACCGACUAAUGUUGAAAAAUUAGCGGAUGACUUGUGGCUGGGGGUGAAAGGCCAAUCAAACCGGGAGAUAGCUGGUUCUCCCCGAAAGCUAUUUAGGUAGCGCCUCGUGAACUCAUCUUCGGGGGUAGAGCACUGUUUCGGCUAGGGGGUCAUCCCGACUUACCAACCCGAUGCAAACUACGAAUACCGAAGAAUGUUAUCACGGGAGACACACGGCGGGUGCUAACGUCCGUCGUGAAGAGGGAAACAACCCAGACCGCCAGCUAAGGUCCCAAAGUCAUGGUUAAGUGGGAAACGAUGUGGGAAGGCACAGACAGCCAGGAUGUUGGCUUAGAAGCAGCCAUCAUUUAAAGAAAGCGUAAUAGCUCACUGGUCGAGUCGGCCUGCGCGGAAGAUGUAACGGGGCUAAACCAUGCACCGAAGCUGCGGCAGCGACACUAUGUGUUGUUGGGUAGGGGAGCGUUCUGUAAGCCUGCGAAGGUGACCUGUGAGGGUUGCUGGAGGUAUCAGAAGUGCGAAUGCUGACAUAAGUAACGAUAAAGCGGGUGAAAAGCCCGCUCGCCGGAAGACCAAGGGUUCCUGUCCAACGUUAAUCGGGGCAGGGUGAGUCGACCCCUAAGGCGAGGCCGAAAGGCGUAGUCGAUGGGAAACAGGUUAAUAUUCCUGUACUUGGUGUUACUGCGAAGGGGGGACGGAGAAGGCUAUGUUAGCCGGGCGACGGUUGUCCCGGUUUAAGCAUGUAGGCUGGUUGUCCAGGCAAAUCCGGAUAAUCAAGGCUGAGGUGUGAUGACGAGGCACUACGGUGCUGAAGUAACAAAUGCCCUGCUUCCAGGAAAAGCCUCUAAGCAUCAGGUAACAUCAAAUCGUACCCCAAACCGACACAGGUGGUCAGGUAGAGAAUACCAAGGCGCUUGAGAGAACUCGGGUGAAGGAACUAGGCAAAAUGGUGCCGUAACUUCGGGAGAAGGCACGCUGGUGUGUAGGUGAAGUCCCUGCGGAUGGAGCUGAGACCAGUCGAAGAUACCAGCUGGCUGCAACUGUUUAUUAAAAACACAGCACUGUGCAAACACGAAAGUGGACGUAUACGGUGUGACGCCUGCCCGGUGCCGGAAGGUUAAUUGAUGGGGUUAUCCGUAAGGAGAAGCUCUUGAUCGAAGCCCCGGUAAACGGCGGCCGUAACUAUAACGGUCCUAAGGUAGCGAAAUUCCUUGUCGGGUAAGUUCCGACCUGCACGAAUGGCGUAAUGAUGGCCAGGCUGUCUCCACCCGAGACUCAGUGAAAUUGAACUCGCUGUGAAGAUGCAGUGUACCCGCGGCAAGACGGAAAGACCCCGUGAACCUUUACUAUAGCUUGACACUGAACAUUGAGCCUUGAUGUGUAGGAUAGGUGGGAGGCUUUGAAGCGUGGACGCCAGUCUGCGUGGAGCCAACCUUGAAAUACCACCCUUUAAUGUUUGAUGUUCUAACGUUGGCCCCUUACCGGGGUUGCGGACAGUGUCUGGUGGGUAGUUUGACUGGGGCGGUCUCCUCCCAAAGCGUAACGGAGGAGCACGAAGGUUAGCUAAUCCUGGUCGGACAUCAGGAGGUUAGUGCAAUGGCAUAAGCUAGCUUGACUGCGAGCGUGACGGCGCGAGCAGGUGCGAAAGCAGGUCAUAGUGAUCCGGUGGUUCUGAAUGGAAGGGCCAUCGCUCAACGGAUAAAAGGUACUCCGGGGAUAACAGGCUGAUACCGCCCAAGAGUUCAUAUCGACGGCGGUGUUUGGCACCUCGAUGUCGGCUCAUCACAUCCUGGGGCUGAAGUAGGUCCCAAGGGUAUGGCUGUUCGCCAUUUAAAGUGGUACGCGAGCUGGGUUUAGAACGUCGUGAGACAGUUCGGUCCCUAUCUGCCGUGGGCGCUGGAGAAUUGAGGGGGGCUGCUCCUAGUACGAGAGGACCGGAGUGGACGCAUCACUGGUGUUCGGGUUGUCAUGCCAAUGGCACUGCCCGGUAGCUAAAUGCGGAAGAGAUAAGUGCUGAAAGCAUCUAAGCACGAAACUUGCCCCGAGAUGAGUUCUCCCUGAGACUUUAAGUCUCCUGAAGGAACGUUGAAGACGACGACGUUGAUAGGCCGGGUGUGUAAGCGCAGCGAUGCGUUGAGCUAACCGGUACUAAUGAACCGUGAGGCUUAACCUUACAACGCCGAAG
This 2923-nucleotide ribosomal RNA is filed under the name Klebsiella pneumoniae. RNAcentral describes it as "bacterial LSU rRNA". It matches the Rfam family "Bacterial large subunit ribosomal RNA". Lineage: Bacteria; Pseudomonadati; Pseudomonadota; Gammaproteobacteria; Enterobacterales; Enterobacteriaceae. The record is from RNAcentral.